UACAGAGGUCUCAAGCGUUGUUCGGAUUCAUUGGGCGUAAAGGGUGCGUAGGCGGCGCGGUAAGUCGGGUGUGAAAUCUUGGAGCUUAACUCCGAAACUGCAUUCGAUACUGCCGUGCUUGAGGACUGGAGAGGAGACUGGAAUUUACGGUGUAGCGGUGAAAUGCGUAGAUAUCAGGAGGAACACCUGUGGUGUAGACGGCUCUCUGGACAGUAACUGACGCUGAGACACGAAAGCGUGGGUAGCAAACAGG
Molecule: ribosomal RNA, 253 nt
Filed under: uncultured bacterium
Lineage: Bacteria
Description: partial 16S ribosomal RNA
Rfam family: Bacterial small subunit ribosomal RNA
Source: RNAcentral